This 117-nucleotide Y RNA is filed under the name Microcebus murinus (gray mouse lemur). RNAcentral's name for it is "Y RNA (ENSMICG00000043427.1)". It matches the Rfam family "Y RNA". Rfam says of the family: Y RNAs are components of the Ro ribonucleoprotein particle (Ro RNP), in association with Ro60 and La proteins. The Y RNAs and Ro60 and La proteins are well conserved, but the function of the Ro RNP is not known. Lineage: Eukaryota; Metazoa; Chordata; Mammalia; Primates; Cheirogaleidae. The record is from RNAcentral.
GGCUGGUCCGAAGGUAAGUGAGUAGUAUCUCCGUGAUUGUUCACAGUCGUUACAGAUUGAACUUCCUUCGUUCUUAGACUUUCCGCCCCUCUCACUACUGCAUUGACUAGGUCUGUU